This 1283-nucleotide long non-coding RNA is filed under the name Gossypium barbadense (sea-island cotton). Its description in RNAcentral is "long non-coding RNA (GBAR_LNC008246)". Lineage: Eukaryota; Viridiplantae; Streptophyta; Magnoliopsida; Malvales; Malvaceae. The record is from RNAcentral.
AAUGUUCGAAUAUUUGAAUUCAUCGAGAAAGUCAAAACCCCGUUGUAAUAGGCCAAUUUUAGCCUGGCCCCAAUUUAUAGAAUAAAAUCCAAAUAAAUAAAUCCAAAUCCACACAAAUUAAAGCAGUCCAAAUUUUACAGCCCGUUAAACAGUCCAGUUAUAAAACAGCCCAAAAUACAAAAAUAGACCAAGCCCAAACCCAAUUACAAGCCUAAAUCAAAAUUAAACAGACCCAAAACUUAAAACCUAGCCCGAAAAUAAACCUGGCCCGAAAGGGCCAAAAACCAAAACAUGCCCAGCAAACCCUAGCAGCUGCUGCGCCGCUCGUUCCUCCGUUGCCAAUGCACUGCCCUCGUACGGCCUCCGCACCUCCACGUCUUCAGUACCUGCAGAAAAGACAAGCACCACACAGCAGAGAAUGGCAACCAAGGAGAAUACAACACGACAGCAGCCAAUAGAAACGAGAAACAAACGAAUUGUAAAAAUAUAUUCGGUUAUAAAGCCGAAGGAAUCCGUUUUUGUAAUUUUUUACACACACAAUCAAUACUAAAAAGAAAUACAAAGAUUUCCAAAGGUAGUCCCUUUCUCUUAUUUUCUUGAUUCUCGAAGCAAAUAUAAAGAAAUAAAAGAGAAAUCACCUGUUCUUCGCGCCUCGCCACCAUUGGAAGCCCUUUUUCGUUCAUGAAAGCCAUAAGAAACCCUAAGGUUUCGAAUAAGCUUCGGAGAAGAGGAAUAUGAAAUGGGUAAAGUGCAAGGGCCAAAUUCUAUUCGUUUUUUUAUUUAUUUCAAAAGAUUGCAAGUAGAUCUAAACUUGUUUUAAAAAGAGGAGAGGGUCCGAAUGUUUUAUUUUUCGGCACGACGGAGCUAUGGCGGAGCCACCGCGCUAGCUCGCCGGAGAAAAAGAGGGCGAGAGAGAGUCUAUAGGUGCUCUCUAUUUUUGAAGAAAAAAGGGGGAAAAUGACUUUUUUUUCUUUUUUUUUAUAUUUAUAUGAGGAUUAAAACGUCGCCGUUUUGGACUUAAUUAGCCAUGACCAAUACGCCACCGUUUUAAGCCAUACCAGUACGACCCGACCCCAUUGAGGGGAGAUCCACGUGUUUUCUUUGAAAAGGGGACAUUUAUGCGAUUGAUCCCCCACUUUUCGCCUUUUUUUAUUUAUUAUUUAAUUUGGGCCUGAUUUAUUUCUUUUCUUAGUUUUUCCCUUUAACUUGGUCUCGUUUUCAAUUUGGUAUCAGGACUGUUUUUGAGAGACUGACAUCUGAAACGGUGCCGUUUUAAAUUCGCC